AGAGUUUGAUCCUGGCUCAGGACGAACGCUGGCGGCGCGCCUAACACAUGCAAGUCGAACGGAGCUUAGAGAGCUUGCUUUUUAAGCUUAGUGGCGAACGGGUGAGUAACGCGUGAGUAACCUGCCCUGGAGUGGGGGACAACAGUUGGAAACGACUGCUAAUACCGCAUAAGCCCACGGUGCCGCAUGACACUGAGGGAAAAGGAUUUAUUCGCUUUAGGAUGGACUCGCGUCCAAUUAGCUAGUUGGUGAGGUAACGGCCCACCAAGGCGACGAUUGGUAGCCGGACUGAGAGGUUGAACGGCCACAUUGGGACUGAGACACGGCCCAGACUCCUACGGGAGGCAGCAGUGGGGGAUAUUGCACAAUGGGGGAAACCCUGAUGCAGCGACGCCGCGUGGAGGAAGAAGGUUUUCGGAUUGUAAACUCCUGUCGUUAGGGACGAUAAUGACGGUACCUAACAAGAAAGCACCGGCUAACUACGUGCCAGCAGCCGCGGUAAAACGUAGGGUGCAAGCGUUGUCCGGAAUUACUGGGUGUAAAGGGAGCGCAGGCGGGAAGACAAGUUGGAAGUGAAAACCAUGGGCUCAACCCAUGAAUUGCUUUCAAAACUGUUUUUCUUGAGUAGUGCAGAGGUAGAUGGAAUUCCCGGUGUAGCGGUGGAAUGCGUAGAUAUCGGGAGGAACACCAGUGGCGAAGGCGGUCUACUGGGCACCAACUGACGCUGAGGCUCGAAAGCAUGGGUAGCAAACAGGAUUAGAUACCCCGGUAGUCCAUGCCGUAAACGAUGAUUACUAGGUGUUUGGGGGGAUUGACCCCCUCAAUUGCCGCAGUUAACACAAUAAGUAAUCCACCUGGGGGAGUACGACCCGCAAGGUUGAAACUCCAAAGGAAUUUGACGGGGGGCCCGCACAAACAGUGGGAGGAAUAUUGGGUUUAAUUCCGAAACAACCCCGAAGAAACCUUUCCCAGGGCUUUGACAUCCCGAUGCUAAGCCAAAAAGAAAGUGUGGAAAACCCUUCCGGGAAUCCCAAACACAGGGGGUGGCAUGGGUUGUCGUCAGCUCGUGUCGUGAGAUGUUGGGUUAAGUCCCGCAACGAGCGCAACCCUUAUUGCCAGUUACUACGUUAAGAGGACUCUGGCGAGACUGCCGUUGACAAAACGGAGGAAGGUGGGGAUGACGUCAAAUCAUCAUGCCCUUUAUGACCUGGGCUACACACGUACUACAAUGGCGUUAAACAAAGAGAAGCAAGACCGCGAGGUGGAGCAAAACUCAAAAACAACGUCUCAGUUCAGAUUGCAGGCUGCAACUCGCCUGCAUGAAGUCGGAAUUGCUAGUAAUCGCGGAUCAGCAUGCCGCGGUGAAUACGUUCCCGGGCCUUGUACACACCGCCCGUC
This 1398-nucleotide ribosomal RNA is filed under the name uncultured bacterium. RNAcentral's name for it is "bacterial SSU rRNA". It matches the Rfam family "Bacterial small subunit ribosomal RNA". The record is from RNAcentral.